RNAcentral lists this long non-coding RNA (374 nucleotides) under Medicago truncatula (barrel medic). Its description in RNAcentral is "lncRNA gene12376". The record is from RNAcentral. Lineage: Eukaryota; Viridiplantae; Streptophyta; Magnoliopsida; Fabales; Fabaceae.
UGUGCCACACCAGUAAUUUACGCAAAUACCUUCUCGGCAGUUAACUGCCGCCGGUUUCCUAGUUAACUGCCGAGGAAAAUGUUUCAUCCGAUGAAACAGCUACCUGCUCCCCCCUACACACUAUUUUUCAUCACCUUCAUUUCCAACCUCAUUUCAAUCCCAAAAUCCAUUUUUUCUAUAAUCAAUUUUUGAUCCAAAAUCAUUCAAGCAUCAAGCAUAGGAGGUAUCAACACACUAUUGACGUAAAAAAACAGUGAGACAUGUCUGAGGUUGCACAAAUUGAAGGGCGGGUUAGGUACUCCGCGUUUAAAAAGACGGUUAAGAUUAUGAUAACGCCGACGGACUCUCUUGACAAUUUGAAAGCACAACUUAAC